AGGGAAAGGUGAAAAGAACCCCGGGAGGGGAGUGAAAGAGAACUUGAAACCCUAUGUUUACAAGCAGAUAGAGCGAUUUAAGGCGCGAUAUCGUACUUUUUGUAGAACGGUCCAGCGAGUUAUUGUAUAUGGCAAGGUUAAGUACUAAGUAAGGUACGGAGCCGAAGUGAAAGCGAGCCUGAACAGGGCGAAUUAAGUCAUAUGUAAUAGACCCGAAACCGGGUGACCUAUCCAUGGUCAGGAUGAAGCUAGAGUAAAAUCUAGUGGAGGUCCGAACUCAUAAGCGUUAAAAAGCUUCGGGAUGAACUGUGGAUAGCGGAGAAAUUCCAAUCGAACUCGGAGAUAGCUGGUUCUCCUCGAAAUAGCUUUAGGGCUAGCCUUGUGUAGUAGUAUAUGGGGGUAGAGCACUGACUGAGGUAGGGGCCUAACCAGGUUACCAAACUCUAUCAAACUCCGAAUACCGUAUAUGUAAGCACAGGAGUCAGACUGCGGGAGCUAAGUUCCGUGGUCAAAAGGGAAAGAGCCCAGAUCGUCAAUUAAGGUCCCAAAGAUAUAGCUAAGUGGCAAACGAUGUGAUUUUGCGUAAACAACCAGGAUGUUGGCUUAGAAGCAGCCAUACAUUUAAAGAGUGCGUAAUAGCUCACUGGUCGAGUGAAGUUGCGCGGAAAAUUACCGGGGCUAAGCUAUACACCGAAAUUGCGGAUUUACACUUGAAAGAUAGUGUAAGUGGUAGAGGAGCAUUCUGUAGUAGGGAGAAGCAAAAGCGAGAGCAUUUGUGGACGAGGCAGAAGAGAGAAUGCUGGAAUAAGUAGCGAGAGCAAGGUGAGAAUCCUUGCCGUCGAAAGUCUAAGGUUUCCUGGGGAAGGUUCGUCCGCCCAGGGUAAGUCGGGACCUAAGGUGAGGCUGAAAAGCGUAGCCGAUGGAUAGCAGGUUGAGAUUCCUGCACUAUAGAUAUACUUAAAAGAUGCAAGGGACGCAGGAGUGGAAGAUAAGCGAGGAAGAGGAAAGACUCGUAUCGCAAGAUAUAGUGAAAAUAAAGUAACGAAUUAUCAAGAAGCACACUGACGAGAAAAGCUUGUAGAUAUUGUAUAUAAAUACCCGUACCGCAAACCGACACAGGUAGAUGAGGAGAGGAUCCUAAGACGAGCGGGAGAAGCAUUGUUAAGGAACUCGGCAAAUUGACCCCGUAACUUAGGGAGAAGGGGUGCCAAGGUAGAACUUGGCCGCAGUGAAGAGGUUCAAGCAACUGUUUAACAAAAACACAGGUUUCUGCUAAAUCGAAAGAUGAAGUAUAGGAGCUGACGCCUGCCCAGUGCUGGAAGGUCAAAGGGAAGUGUUAGUAAAAACUUACGAAGCACAGAACUCAAGCCCCAGUGAACGGCGGCCGUAACUAUAACGGUCCUAAGGUAGCGAAAUUCCUUGUCAGGUAAGUUCUGACCCGCACGAAAGGCGUAAUGAUUUGAACACUGUCUCGACAAUGUACCCGGCGAAAUUGUAGUACUAGUGAAGAUGCUAGUUACCUGCGACAAGACAGAAAGACCCCAUGGAGCUUUACUGCAGCUUGAUACUGGGUUUUGGUAAUUUAUGUACAGGAUAGGUGGGAUACGAAGAAGCAAGUGCGCCAGCAUUUGUGGAGUAGACGUUGGGAUACCACUCUUAAAUUAUUGAAAUUCUAACCUGUGAUCAUGAACUGGUCAGGGGACAAUGUCAGGCGGGCAGUUUGACUGGGGCGGUCGCCUCCUAAAGAGUAACGGAGGCGCCCAAAGGUUUCCUCAGCACGGACAGAAAUCGUGCAAAAGAGUGUAAAGGCAGAAGGAAGCUUAACUGGGAGACUGACAAGUCGAGCAGAUACGAAAGUAGGGCUUAGUGAUCCGGCGGUAGUGAGUGGAAAUGCCGUCGCUCAACGGACAAAAGUUACCCUGGGGAUAACAGGCUUAUCUCCCCCAAGAGUUCACAUC
Molecule: ribosomal RNA, 1958 nt
Filed under: human gut metagenome
Description: bacterial LSU rRNA
Rfam family: Bacterial large subunit ribosomal RNA
Source: RNAcentral